This 80-nucleotide ribosomal RNA is filed under the name Eubacteriales Family XIII. Incertae Sedis bacterium. Lineage: Bacteria; Bacillati; Bacillota; Clostridia; Peptostreptococcales; Anaerovoracaceae. The record is from RNAcentral.
UCCCGAACACAGAAGUUAAGCUCUCCAGCGCCGAUGAUACUUGGCGGGCGACCGCCCGGGAAAGCAGGACGCUGCCAUUC